RNAcentral lists this ribosomal RNA (253 nucleotides) under uncultured bacterium. Its description in RNAcentral is "partial 16S ribosomal RNA". It matches the Rfam family "Bacterial small subunit ribosomal RNA", at positions 524 to 776 of the family's 1533-position model. The record is from RNAcentral.
GACAGAGGGGGCAAGCGUUGUCCGGAUUGACUGGGCGUACAGCGCGCGCAGACGGCACGGUAUGUGCCCGGUGACAUCCUACGGCUUAACCGUGGGCGGCCCGGGUAGACAGCCGUGCUUGAGACAGGGAGAGGGUCGUGGAAUGCCCGGUGGAGCGGUGAAAUGCGUAGAGAUCGGGCGGAACACCAGCGGCGAAGGCGGCGACCUGGCCCUGGACUGACGUUGAGGCGCGAAAGCGUGGGGAGCGAACGGG